AUUGCGGAGAGUUUGAUCCUGGCUCAGGAUGAACGCUGGCGGCGUGCUUAAUACAUGCAAGUCGAACGGAGACAUUAGCAAUAAUGUUUUAGUGGCGAACGGGUGAGUAACGCGUUGGUGACCUGCCCCGAAGAGAGGGAU
Molecule: ribosomal RNA, 141 nt
Filed under: Anaerolineaceae bacterium
Lineage: Bacteria; Bacillati; Chloroflexota; Anaerolineae; Anaerolineales; Anaerolineaceae
Description: partial 16S ribosomal RNA
Rfam family: Bacterial small subunit ribosomal RNA
Source: RNAcentral